UGGGGAAUAUUGGACAAUGGGCGCAAGCCUGAUCCAGCCAUGCCGCGUGAGUGAUGAAGGCCCUAGGGUUGUAAAGCUCUUUCACCGGUGAAGAUAAUGACGGUAACCGGAGAAGAAGCCCCGGCUAACUUCGUGCCAGCAGCCGCGGUAAUACGAAGGGGGCUAGCGUUGUUCGGAUUUACUGGGCGUAAAGCGCACGUAGGCGGACUUUUAAGUCAGGGGUGAAAUCCCGGGCCUCAACCCCGGAACUGCCUUUGAUACUGGAAGUCUUGAGUAUGGUAGAGGUGAGUGGAAUUCCGAGUGUAGAGGUGAAAUUCGUAGAUAUUCGGAGGAACACCAGUGGCGAAGGCGGCUCACUGGACCAUUACUGACGCUGGGGUGCGAAAGCGUGGGGAGCAAACAGG
RNAcentral lists this ribosomal RNA (404 nucleotides) under Actinomycetes bacterium. RNAcentral describes it as "Actinobacteria bacterium partial 16S ribosomal RNA". It matches the Rfam family "Bacterial small subunit ribosomal RNA", at positions 355 to 776 of the family's 1533-position model. Lineage: Bacteria; Bacillati; Actinomycetota; Actinomycetes. The record is from RNAcentral.